UAAUACAUGCAAGUCGAGCGAACAGAAGGGAGCUUGCUCCCGGAUGUUAGCGGCGGACGGGUGAGUAACACGUGGGUAACCUGCCUGUAAGACUGGGAUAACUCCGGGAAACCGGAGCUAAUACCGGAUAGUUCCUUGAACCGCAUGGUUCAAGAAUGAAAGACGGUUUCGGCUGUCACUUACAGAUGGACCCGCGGCGCAUUAGCUAGUUGGUGNGGUANUGGCUCACCAANGCGACGAUGCGUAGCCGACCUGAGAGGGUGAUCGGCCACACUGGGACUGAGACACG
Molecule: ribosomal RNA, 289 nt
Filed under: Bacillus sp. A0002
Lineage: Bacteria; Bacillati; Bacillota; Bacilli; Caryophanales; Bacillaceae
Description: partial 16S rRNA
Rfam family: Bacterial small subunit ribosomal RNA
Source: RNAcentral